UCCGAUUUGUCACCGGCAGUCUCCUAUGAGUCCCCGUCAUUACACGCUGGCAACAUAGGACAGGGGUUGCGCUCGUUGCGCCACUUAAGGCAACACCUCACGGCACGAGCCGACGACAGCCAUGCACCACCUGUGCAGGCUCCGAAGAGCACCCGCUUUCACGGGUUUCACCCUGCAUGUCAAGCCCAGGUAAGGUUCUUCGCGUCGCAUCGAAUUAAACCACAUGCUCCACCGCUUGUGCAGGCCCCCGUCAAUUUCUUUGAGUUUUAAUCUUGCGACCGUACUCCCCAGGCGGGAUGCUUAAUGCGUUAGCUGCGCCACUGACCAGCAAGCUGGCCAACGGCUAGCAUCCAUCGUUUACGGCGUGGACUAC
Molecule: unclassified non-coding RNA, 373 nt
Filed under: uncultured bacterium
Lineage: Bacteria
Description: contains 16S-23S intergenic spacer region
Source: RNAcentral